Molecule: non-coding RNA, 186 nt
Filed under: Clostridium sp. 001
Lineage: Bacteria; Bacillati; Bacillota; Clostridia; Eubacteriales; Clostridiaceae
Description: 6S RNA
Rfam family: 6S / SsrS RNA
About the family: E. coli 6S RNA was the first non coding RNA to be sequenced, but its function was unknown until recently. It consists of 184 nucleotides that fold into an extended hairpin structure with a large single-stranded internal bulge.
Source: RNAcentral
AAAGAUCUGAAGUAUACGUAAGCUUUAGUUUUGAACCUACGUUAUAUAAACGGAAGUUCAAUAUUUAGAUGUGUACAUGAAGCCUACUUAUAAUUGAAAGUUUAGGAAGAUGGAGACAUCUGUGAGAACAUCCACCUAUUUUUGGAUAGGUGUCAAAGUAAGGUUAAACGGUAUUUUGGAUAAAAU